AAUGUUGUUGCAGUAGUAAUUGACCUUAGUACGAGUGGAACCGUUCAUUUGGAUAACUGGUAUUUGGGCUUGCCUGAGCGGGGAAUGGCCCGAAGCUAUCAUACGCCGGGUUAUGGCUGAGCGCCUCCAAGUCAAAACCAGUUCUAGAACGCGACAAUUACCGCUUUUUCCGGGGGAGGGUUUUGAAUACGAAUAAAUCUUCGAGCCUACGCGGUGUUUUGUUGCAGAGCAGAAGGCUUUGUAAUAUACCCGCCACUGUCAAUUUCUAGUAUCGGAAAAGAUAAAUCCAUUGCAAGCGACUUUAAUUGUAGGGGUACUGAAGGCAGUAGAGGAGCCUUGUUGCUAUGAUCCGCUGAGAUGAAGCCCACUGUUCUGUAGGUUU
This is a ribosomal RNA of 382 nucleotides. It matches the Rfam family "Eukaryotic large subunit ribosomal RNA", at positions 3004 to 3399 of the family's 3401-position model. The record is from Rfam.